AGUGAACGCUGGCGGUAGGCCUAACACAUGCAAGUCGAACGGCAGCACAGGAGAGCUUGCUCUCUGGGUGGCGAGUGGCGGACGGGUGAGGAAUACAUCGGAAUCUACUCUGUCGUGGGGGAUAACGUAGGGAAACUUACGCUAAUACCGCAUACGACCUACGGGUGAAAGCAGGGGAUCUUCGGACCUUGCGCGAUUGAAUGAGCCGAUGUCGGAUUAGCUAGUUGGCGGGGUAAAGGCCCACCAAGGCGACGGUCCGUAGCUGGUCUGAGGGGAUGAUCAGCAAAACGGGAACUGAGACACGGUCCAGACUCCUACUGGAGGCAGCAGUGGGGAAGAUUGGACAAUGGGCGCAAGCCUGAGCCAGCCAUACCGCGUGGGUGAAGAAGGCCUUCGGGUUGUAAAGCCCUUUUGUUGGGAAAGAAAUCCAGCUGGCUAAUACCCGGUUGGGAUGACGGUACCCAAAGAAUAAGCACCGGCUAACUUCGUGCCAGCCGCCGCCGUAA
This 506-nucleotide ribosomal RNA is filed under the name uncultured bacterium. RNAcentral describes it as "partial 16S ribosomal RNA". It matches the Rfam family "Bacterial small subunit ribosomal RNA", at positions 29 to 523 of the family's 1533-position model. The record is from RNAcentral.